GAACGCGAAGAACCUUACCUAAGCUUGACWUCCUUUUGACCGAUGCCUAAUCGCAUCUUUCCCUUCGGGGACAGAAGUGACAGGUGGUGCAUGGUUGUCGUCAGCUCGUGUCGUGAGAUGUUGGGUUAAGUCCCGCAACGAGCGCAACCCUUAUUGUUAGUUGCCAGCAUUCAGUUGGGCACUCUAGCGAGACUGCCGGUGACAAACCGGAGGAAGGCGGGGACGACGUCAGAUCAUCAUGCCCCUUAUGACCUGGGCUACACACGUGCUACAAUGGCGUAUACAACGAGUUGCCAACCUGCGAAGGUGAGCUAAUCUCUUAAAGUACGUCUCAGUUCGGACUGCAGUCUGCAACUCGCCUACACGAAGCUGGAAUCGCUAGUAAUCGCGGAUCAGCACGCCGCGGUGAAUACGUUCCCGGGUCUUGUACACACCGA
RNAcentral lists this ribosomal RNA (437 nucleotides) under uncultured bacterium. RNAcentral's name for it is "bacterial SSU rRNA". It matches the Rfam family "Bacterial small subunit ribosomal RNA", at positions 957 to 1393 of the family's 1533-position model. The record is from RNAcentral.